Molecule: ribosomal RNA, 649 nt
Filed under: uncultured bacterium
Lineage: Bacteria
Description: bacterial SSU rRNA
Rfam family: Bacterial small subunit ribosomal RNA
Source: RNAcentral
AAAGUUGGGGAGACCUGACGCUGAAAGAUGGACUCGCGUCCCAUUAGCUAGUUGGUAGGGUAAUGGCCUACCAAGGCGACGAUGGGUAGCCGGCCUGAGAGGGUGGCCGGCCACACUGGGACUGAGACACGGCCCAGACUCCUACGGGAGGCAGCAGUGGGGAAUUUUGCGCAAUGCUCGUAAGAGUGACGCAGCGACGCCGCGUGAAUGACGAAGGCCUUCGGGUCGUAAAGUUCUUUCGACAGGGAAGAAAAUGCCUAUAAGUAACUGUGUAUGUAUUGACGGUACCUGUAUAAGCAGCCCCGGCUAACUCCGUGCCAGCAGCCGCGGUAAUACGGAGGGGGCGAGCGUUGUUCGGAGUGACUGGGCGUAAAGAGCACGUAGGCGGUGUUGUAAGUCAUUAGUCAAAGACUAGAGCUCAACUUUAGUAAGGCUAGUGAUACUAUAAUACUAGAGUAUCAGAGAGGAUUGCAGAAUUCCUGGUGUAGCGGUGAAAUGCGAAGAUAUCAGGAGGAAUACCGUUAGCGAAGGCGGCAAUCUGGCUGGAAACUGACGCUGAGGUGCGAAAGCGUGGGUAGCAAACAGGAUUAGAUACCCUGGUAGUCCACGCUGUAAGCGAUGGAUACUAGGUGUUGGGCUUUUAAGUUCA